This 1213-nucleotide long non-coding RNA is filed under the name Triticum aestivum (bread wheat). Its description in RNAcentral is "long non-coding RNA (TAES_LNC016798)". Lineage: Eukaryota; Viridiplantae; Streptophyta; Magnoliopsida; Poales; Poaceae. The record is from RNAcentral.
GGGAUACUCCGGCCUCUGCAUCAGCAUGAUGCAUACGACCCUCUUAUUAAACAAAAUAGAGUAGUAUCAACAAGGUUCCAAAGGUCCUGAAAAAUGAAAAAAAAAAAGAAAGCAACACAAGCUCACACAGAGCCCGGAUAAGCUGGAUACAUCAAGCUAGCCACAUCAAAGAGCCACAACCGGCGGGGCAAACUAGAUAGGAAUACUAAAUGCCUAUCCUAUUACAUGACCGCCAUCCAAACCGGUUGAAGAUAUCCCGAGCUACCAUCUCCCAACGGACAGACCCAGUAACCAAAUGCUCCCUGGCCUCCGUCUGGGUGAGUAGCGACCAUGAACGAAUCAGAGCCGUAGUCCGGAAUAAAACCUGCAAAAAAUGUAUAUAUGAUGUUCUGUUAAAGACCAAAUCGUUUCUGCAGUUCCAGAUGGUCCACAGCAAAGCACAAACCCCCACCCGAAUAUGUCUCCCUAAGUUGGGCUCAAUCCCAUUAAGCCAUGUCCCAAACAAAGUACUAACAGAAUUCGGUGGUUUGAUGUUAAAAGCAAUGUGGACCGUCACCUGUCUCUCGGUCCCUGUUCGCAACAAUAUCAUUAUGCCGCCUGUUACUAUCUGCUUUGUUGACAAUCAUAUCUGAUCCCAAGGGAUCCCUCGCAGCUUCCCCAUGUGGAUCACUCAAAUCAGUACAGGACGGGAUGUUGAGAAAAUAGGAUCAGUUAACCACUUCAUCUAGAUUAUUUGCCUUGCUACCCCCAGGGACACACGUCUAGGAAUUCCAGUAUUAGUUCGCUUCCUCCAAUUAAAUCCAAACACUCUGAAUCUGGUGCAUGGUCAAAUUGAAUGGCAGGAAGCAAGAGUCCAUGGAUUGCGGAUUAAAAAAAUCACCAUCAUGCUAUAGGAGUGAGCAGUUUAUAAGGGAGGAAGAUGUACCUGUAGAAGCAUUCAGAUUCACCAACCACGCAUCCGCGGCGACGCGGCGAGGGCUUCAAUUUGUCCCGUCCAGGAAGGAGAUAAGCGUCGGCCGUGGGGGGAUUCAAUGCCCGCUGACUUUCUAGGAGAGAAAAGUAACGAAUCUGGAGGAGUGCGUACACCUAUCUGUGCUGAUGACGAAGGGAGUGGAGAAGAUGGUGUGGGAUAAAAAAGGCCAUCAUUUUUUUUGGAAAAUAGGAUGGGCGAGAAGAGGGAGGGGCACCUGGUGAAUCUCGAGCAGAUGCGUGG